UGUAAGCGUAUACCAAAGUUGUUGCAGUUAAAACGCUCGUAGUCGGAAUUUGGCAGUUCCGGAUGUGUGCACGUCGUGUGCGCACUUCGCGGGGAUUGCUUUUGUGGUCUUGCGUAGGAUGAGGCACUUUUAUUAGUGAACGUCCUCACGCAACCACUUUUUACUGUGAGAAAAUCAGAGUGCUCAAAGCAGGCAUUUGCCGUGAAUGUAUUAGCAUGGAAUAAUAGAAUAGGACUUGGUUCUAUUUUGUUGGUUUGUUGGGACUGGGUAAUGAUUAAGAGGGACAGUUGGGGGCAUUUGUAUUUCGGUGCUAGAGGUGAAAUUCUUAGAUUACCGAAAGACAAACUGCAGCGAAAGCGUCUGCCAAGGAUGUUUUCAUUGA
Molecule: ribosomal RNA, 382 nt
Filed under: uncultured eukaryote
Lineage: Eukaryota
Description: partial 18S ribosomal RNA
Rfam family: Eukaryotic small subunit ribosomal RNA
Source: RNAcentral